Molecule: ribosomal RNA, 1935 nt
Filed under: Staphylococcus aureus
Lineage: Bacteria; Bacillati; Bacillota; Bacilli; Caryophanales; Staphylococcaceae
Description: partial 23S ribosomal RNA
Rfam family: Bacterial large subunit ribosomal RNA
Source: RNAcentral
CAAGUAGUCAGAGCCCGUUAAUGGGUGAUGGCGUGCCUUUUGUAGAAUGAACCGGCGAGUUACGAUUUGAUGCAAGGUUAAGCAGUAAAUGUGGAGCCGUAGCGAAAGCGAGUCUGAAUAGGGCGUUUAGUAUUUGGUCGUAGACCCGAAACCAGGUGAUCUACCCUUGGUCAGGUUGAAGUUCAGGUAACACUGAAUGGAGGACCGAACCGACUUACGUUGAAAAGUGAGCGGAUGAACUGAGGGUAGCGGAGAAAUUCCAAUCGAACCUGGAGAUAGCUGGUUCUCUCCGAAAUAGCUUUAGGGCUAGCCUCAAGUGAUGAUUAUUGGAGGUAGAGCACUGUUUGGACGAGGGGCCCCUCUCGGGUUACCGAAUUCAGACAAACUCCGAAUGCCAAUUAAUUUAACUUGGGAGUCAGAACAUGGGUGAUAAGGUCCAUGUUCGAAAGGGAAACAGCCCAGACCACCAGCUAAGGUCCCAAAAUAUAUGUUAAGUGGAAAAGGAUGUGGCGUUGCCCAGACAACUAGGAUGUUGGCUUAGAAGCAGCCAUCAUUUAAAGAGUGCGUAAUAGCUCACUAGUCGAGUGACACUGCGCCGAAAAUGUACCGGGGCUAAACAUAUUACCGAAGCUGUGGAUUGUCCUUUGGACAAUGGUAGGAGAGCGUUCUAAGGGCGUUGAAGCAUGAUCGUAAGGACAUGUGGAGCGCUUAGAAGUGAGAAUGCCGGUGUGAGUAGCGAAAGAUGGGUGAGAAUCCCGUCCACCGAUUGACUAAGGUUUCCAGAGGAAGGCUCGUCCGCUCUGGGUUAGUCGGGUCCUAAGCUGAGGCCGACAGGCGUAGGCGAUGGAUAACAGGUUGAUAUUCCUGUACCACCUAUAAUCGUUUUAAUCGAUGGGGGGACGCAGUAGGAUAGGCGAAGCGUGCGAUUGGAUUGCACGUCUAAGCAGUAAGGCUGAGUAUUAGGCAAAUCCGGUACUCGUUAAGGCUGAGCUGUGAUGGGGAGAAGACAUUGUGUCUUCGAGUCGUUGAUUUCACACUGCCGAGAAAAGCCUCUAGAUAGAAAAUAGGUGCCCGUACCGCAAACCGACACAGGUAGUCAAGAUGAGAAUUCUAAGGUGAGCGAGCGAACUCUCGUUAAGGAACUCGGCAAAAUGACCCCGUAACUUCGGGAGAAGGGGUGCUCUUUAGGGUUAACGCCCAGAAGAGCCGCAGUGAAUAGGCCCAAGCGACUGUUUAUCAAAAACACAGGUCUCUGCUAAACCGUAAGGUGAUGUAUAGGGGCUGACGCCUGCCCGGUGCUGGAAGGUUAAGAGGAGUGGUUAGCUUCUGCGAAGCUACGAAUCGAAGCCCCAGUAAACGGCGGCCGUAACUAUAACGGUCCUAAGGUAGCGAAAUUCCUUGUCGGGUAAGUUCCGACCCGCACGAAAGGCGUAACGAUUUGGGCACUGUCUCAACGAGAGACUCGGUGAAAUCAUAGUACCUGUGAAGAUGCAGGUUACCCGCGACAGGACGGAAAGACCCCGUGGAGCUUUACUGUAGCCUGAUAUUGAAAUUCGGCACAGCUUGUACAGGAUAGGUAGGAGCCUUUGAAACGUGAGCGUUAGCUUACGUGGAGGCGCUGGUGGGAUACUACCCUAGCUGUGUUGGCUUUCUAACCCGCACCACUUAUCGUGGUGGGAAACAGUGUCAGGCGGGCAGUUUGACUGGGGCGGUCGCCUCCUAAAAGGUAACGGAGGCGCUCAAAGGUUCCCUCAGAAUGGUUGGAAAUCAUUCAUAGAGUGUAAAGGCAUAAGGGAGCUUGACUGCGAGACCUACAAGUCGAGCAGGGUCGAAAGACGGACUUAGUGAUCCGGUGGUUCCGCAUGGAAGGGCCAUCGCUCAACGGAUAAAAGCUACCCCGGGGAUAACAGGCUUAUCUCCCCCAAGAGUUCACAU